This 514-nucleotide ribosomal RNA is filed under the name uncultured bacterium. RNAcentral describes it as "bacterial SSU rRNA". It matches the Rfam family "Bacterial small subunit ribosomal RNA", at positions 28 to 535 of the family's 1533-position model. The record is from RNAcentral.
GAUGAACGCUAGCGGCAGGCUUAACACAUGCAAGUCGAGGGGCAGCGCGAUGUAGCAAUACAUUGGCGGCGACCGGCGCACGGGUGCGUAACACGUAUGGAACUUACCCUUUACUGGGAGAUAGCCCGGAGAAAUCCGGAUUAAUAUCCCAUAAUAAACGAAGUGGCAUCACUUUGUUUUGAAAGCUCCGGCGGUAAAGGAUGGCCAUGCGCACGAUUAGCUAGUAGGUGAGGUAACGGCUCACCUAGGCUACGAUCGUUAGGGGGCCUGAGAGGGUUAUCCCCCACACUGGUACUGAGACACGGACCAGACUCCUACGGGAGGCAGCAGUGGGGAAUAUUGCGCAAUGGAGGCAACUCUGACGCAGCCAUGCCGCGUGCAGGAAGAAGGCGCUACGCGUUGUAAACUGCUUUUUAACCGGGAAGAAACCCUCCGACGUGUCGGAGGUUGACGGUACCGGAGGAAUAAGCACCGGCUAACUUCGUGCCAGCAGCCGCGGUAAAGUAUCGUACGC